UCCCUGAUGGUCCAGUGGUUAAGACUCUGUGCUUCCACUGCAGGGGGUAUGGGUUCGAUUCCUGGUUGGGGAA
This 73-nucleotide transfer RNA is filed under the name Bos taurus (domestic cattle). It matches the Rfam family "tRNA". Rfam says of the family: Transfer RNA (tRNA) molecules are approximately 80 nucleotides in length. Their secondary structure includes four short double-helical elements and three loops (D, anti-codon, and T loops). Further hydrogen bonds mediate the characteristic L-shaped molecular structure. tRNAs have two regions of fundamental functional importance: the anti-codon, which is responsible for specific mRNA codon recognition, and the 3' end, to which the tRNAs corresponding amino acid is attached (by aminoacyl-tRNA synthetases). tRNAs cope with the degeneracy of the genetic code in two manners: having more than one tRNA (with a specific anti-codon) for a particular amino acid; and 'wobble' base-pairing, i.e. permitting non-standard base-pairing at the 3rd anti-codon position. RNAcentral also lists the same sequence under 5 other names. The record is from Rfam by way of RNAcentral. Lineage: Eukaryota; Metazoa; Chordata; Mammalia; Artiodactyla; Bovidae.